CAAUAGCGUAUAUUAAAGUUGUUGCGGUAAAAAAGCUCGUAGUUGGAUUUCUACCGAAGAUAGCCGGUCGGGUCUUCGACCUUGUAUCUGGUUUUGUCUUUGGUAUCCUCAUAGGGAACGUUUCUGCGCUUUAUUGCGUGGUGCGGUAUCUAUGACUUUUACUUUGAGGAAAUUAGAGUGUUCACAGCAGGCAAACGCCUUGAAUAUAUUAGCAUGGAAUAAUAACAUAGGAUCUUCGUCCUAUUUUGUUGGUUUCUAGGGCUAAGAUAAUGAUUAAUAGGGAUAAUUGGGGGCAUCUGUAUCAACGCGUCAGAGGUGGAAUUCUUGGAUUGCGUUGCGACAAACUACUGCGAAAGCAUUUGCCAAGGAUGUUUUCAUUGA
RNAcentral lists this ribosomal RNA (381 nucleotides) under uncultured eukaryote. RNAcentral's name for it is "partial 18S ribosomal RNA". It matches the Rfam family "Eukaryotic small subunit ribosomal RNA", at positions 592 to 976 of the family's 1831-position model. The record is from RNAcentral.